UUGCUUCAGCAGCACAUACACUAAAAUUGGAAUUAUACAGAGAAGAUUAGCAUGGCCCCUGCGCAAGGAUGACACGCAAAUCCAUGAAGCGUUCCAUAUUUUU
Molecule: small nuclear RNA, 103 nt
Filed under: Physeter macrocephalus (sperm whale)
Lineage: Eukaryota; Metazoa; Chordata; Mammalia; Artiodactyla; Physeteridae
Source: RNAcentral